AGAGUUUACACACUACAGUGUCAUCAAAUUUAAUUUGAAUUUGUUAGCAAGUCCCACACUCAGCAGAUACGGACGGAGCAACUUAACUUGCGUGAAUAUGCAGUUGUGUUUGUGACCACUUAAUGAAUGGAUUUCAAAGCCCUCGGCAGGUUGCUGUGGUUACAAACAAAAGGACGUCUGGGCUCGCAGCUUUGCACAGGCUGGAAACUGCGUCAUGAUGGAGGAAACCACCUGUAACUGGAAGCAGCAUCAACCAGCAUGAUUACACUAACACCACAUUAAAUAUUCUGUGCUCAGGGU
Mugil cephalus (flathead mullet) is the source of this 300-nucleotide long non-coding RNA. RefSeq lists it as uncharacterized. The record is from RefSeq and is a predicted model, not a curated record. NCBI's taxonomy places the organism in Eukaryota, Metazoa, Chordata, Actinopteri, Mugiliformes, Mugilidae. The transcript has 3 exons.